AUUGAACGCUGGCGGCAGGCCUAACACAUGCAAGUCGAGCGAGCCGCGGAGGGGUGAGACAUGUAUGGGAAUCUGCCCGAUAGAGGGGGAUACCUACUGGAACCGGUGGCUAAUACCGCAAACCUGCCGCUGAAACCAUAUGGGAUUCGCUAGUAGGUGGGGUAAAGGCUCACCUAGGCGACGAUCUAUAGCUGGUCUGCGAGGGUGAUCAGCCACACUGGGACUGAGACACGGUCCAGACUCCUACGGGAGGCAGCAGUGGGGAAUAUUGCACAAUGGGCGCAAGCCUGAGAGAGCCAUGCCGCGUGUAUGAAGAAGGCCUUAGGAUUGUAAAGUACUGUCAGCAGGGAGGCGUUACCCGCAGAGGAAGCAACGGCUAACUCCGUGCCAGCAGCCGCGGUAAUAC
This 406-nucleotide ribosomal RNA is filed under the name uncultured bacterium. RNAcentral's name for it is "partial 16S ribosomal RNA". It matches the Rfam family "Bacterial small subunit ribosomal RNA", at positions 30 to 526 of the family's 1533-position model. The record is from RNAcentral.